This 583-nucleotide small RNA is filed under the name Pongo abelii (Sumatran orangutan). RNAcentral's name for it is "retained intron". The record is from RNAcentral. Lineage: Eukaryota; Metazoa; Chordata; Mammalia; Primates; Hominidae.
AAGGGUUGCCCUUGGCAACAGGAGGACGCGGGCUGGCAGGCUUGGUUCCUGGAGAGUUUUUUAGCACCCGCCUGCGGUCUGAGGCACCGGCUGAACCAUGUCGGAGAUCCUGUGCCAGUGGCUCAACAAAGAGUUGAAGGUGUCCCGGACCGUGAGUCCCAAGUCAUUUGCAAAGGCAUUUUCCAGUGGCUAUCUACUUGGAGAAGUUCUACACAAGUCUGAACUUCAGGAUGAUUUUUCAGAAUUUUUGGACAGCAGGGUUUCAAGUGCCAAACUUAAUAAUUUUUCUCGCUUGGAGCCAACGCUUCACCUUCUGGGUGUGCAGUUUGAUCAGAAUGUGGCCCAUGGCAUCAUCACAGAAAAGCCUGGGGUGGCAACAAAGCUAUUAUAUCAAUUGUACAUUGCUCUUCAGAAAAAGAAGAAAAGUGGACUGACUGGAGUGGAGAUGCAAACCAUGCAACAUCUGACAAAUUUAAGACUUCAAAACAUGAAAAGUGAUACUUUUCGAGAGGUGGGUACAUAAAAAAGCAUAAUAAGCAUGUCACAGUGUAAAAUUUGAUAAAGAGAAAUGACAAUGAUAUUG